This 1077-nucleotide ribosomal RNA is filed under the name uncultured Spirochaetaceae bacterium. RNAcentral describes it as "bacterial SSU rRNA". It matches the Rfam family "Bacterial small subunit ribosomal RNA", at positions 28 to 1093 of the family's 1533-position model. Lineage: Bacteria; Pseudomonadati; Spirochaetota; Spirochaetia; Spirochaetales; Spirochaetaceae. The record is from RNAcentral.
UACGUAACGCUGGCGGCGCGUCUUAGCAUGCAAGUCGGACGGCAACUAGGGGCUUGCUCCUAGCUAGAGUGGCGGACUGGUGAGUAACACGUGGAUGACAUGUCUUUUGGUUGGGGAUAGCCGCUAGAAAUAGUGGAUAAUACCGAAUACGAACGCUACUAAUGAAGGGUGGUGGGGAAAGGAGCUACGGCUCCGCCGAUAGAGUGGUCCGCGGCCCAUUAGGCAGUUGGUGAGGUAACGGCUCACCAAACCUAUGAUGGGUAUCCGGCCUAAGAGGGUGAACGGACACAUUGGGACUGAGAUACGGCCCAGACUCCUACGGGAGGCAGCAGCUAAGAAUAUUCCGCAAUGGACGAAAGUCUGACGGAGCGACGCCGCGUGGAUGAUGAAGGCCGAAAGGUUGUAAAGUUCUUUUAAAUCUGACGAAUAAGUGCGGGAGGGAAUGCCUGCAUGGUGACGGUAGGAUUUGAAUAAGCAACGGCUAAUUACGUGCCAGCAGCCGCGGUAACACGUAAGUUGCAAGCGUUGUUCGGAAUUAUUGGGCGUAAAGGGCAUGUAGGCGGUUUUACAAGCUUGAUGUGAAAUGCCCCGGCUUAACUGGGGAACUGCAUUGAGAACUAUAGAGCUAGAGUUACUGAGAGGGAACUGGAAUUCCAGGUGUAGGGGUGAAAUCUGUAGAUAUCUGGAAGAACACCAAUGGCGAAGGCAAGUUUCUGGCAGAUAACUGACGCUGAGGUGCGAAGGUGCGGGGAUCGAACCGGAUUAGAUACCCUGGUAGUCCGCACAGUAAACGAUGUACACUAGGUGCUUGGCUUUACGGCUGAGUGUCGAAGCAAACGUGGUAAGUGUACCGCCUGGGGAGUAUGCCCGCAAGGGUGAAACUCAAAGGAAUUGACGGGGGCCCGCACAAACGGUGGAGCAUGUGGUUUAAUUCGAUGGUACGCGAGGAACCUUACCUGGGCUUGACAUAUAGAGUAAUUCGGUAGAGAUACCGGAGCGUAGUAAUACGACUGUAUACAGGUGCUGCAUGGCUGUCGUCAGCUCGUGCCGUGGAGGUGUUGGGUUAAGUCCCGCAAC